This 381-nucleotide ribosomal RNA is filed under the name Triticum aestivum (bread wheat). Its description in RNAcentral is "partial small subunit ribosomal RNA". The record is from RNAcentral. Lineage: Eukaryota; Viridiplantae; Streptophyta; Magnoliopsida; Poales; Poaceae.
AUGACUCUGAACCAUAAAGGCCUGCUGCCACAAGUUACUUGUGUGAUGAAGAUCCCAAUCGGUAUGCCAUUAAAGGACGCUACAGAUUCAAAUUUCUAUGUGCAAUUGUUCAGGCAUGUGAAGCAAAUGGGUGUGCUGAGCACAAAACUCUCCCACAAUCUUGGUCUGCGGUUAAGGCUAUUUGAGCCAUUACUGUCCUCUGAUCCAACUACCAUUACAGUGCAUUGUUUGAUCUCCAUGGUGCCAAGAGAUACGACUGUCCUGAGUCAGCCGAUAAUGCAAGUUAUGGGUGAUCUAAACCUGGGUGUUGAUGGCGACUGGUUAUCUGUUCUAUGGCGGCACAUUUAUUUCAGAACAAGCAAAUUGGGCCGUAUGAACUAG